GAAUAAUUGCACCUGCCUUGCUGGUCUCUGAUAAGAAUUGUAUGAAACAAUUGGUAAGUAUUUGAUAAAUAGUAGUUGUAUUUCCUUCAUUUGCUAGUCAUUUCAGGCAUUAUUUAUUUCUGUGCAGCAUACAAAGCCCAUGGCGAUAGCCUUUGUAGACAGUAAAGUGUUAACUGGCGAGCUGUUUUCUACAAUUUUUAGGUUGUCUUUAUACAUUUUAAAGUGAGUGUUUGUAUUAUAUAAAUGUUCUCUAAGCUCUUUUCUUAUUAAAAACCAGGAAAUUAGAGUCCCGCGAAGUUAUAUUAUUGGCUUUACAUGAUUAUAUAUCAGUGGAAGAGCUGAGGGAAAUGAUUACGUGUCGGCCAGUUUUAAAACUUCAGUAACACUUUAUGUGGAUGUUAUAGAAUGCACGUGUGUAUAAUUUCUGCAUCUGACACACACAUAUAUGUUCAUAUGAUCCUUGCAGCUUCCAGGAUAGAGGAGUUGUUCUACACACCCGGUUUAUUUUUUUAUUGCAUGUGUUCGAGGACCCUCAUGCUAUACUAGGAGGUGAGGAUGUUGUG
This 563-nucleotide long non-coding RNA is filed under the name Mustela putorius furo (domestic ferret). RNAcentral's name for it is "lncRNA (ENSMPUG00000031660.1)". Lineage: Eukaryota; Metazoa; Chordata; Mammalia; Carnivora; Mustelidae. The record is from RNAcentral.